GCAAACUUGGUCAUUUAGAGGAAGUAAAAGUCGUAACAAGGUCUCCGUUGGUGAACCAGCGGAGGGAUCAUUAUCGAGUUAUUCAACUCCCAAACCCAAUGUGAACCUUACCAUUUUGUUGCUUCGGCGGGAUUGCCCCCGGGCGCCUUCGUGGCGGACCCGGAACCUGGCGCCCGCCGGAGGUCCCAAAAACUCUUGUUUUUUCAGUGGUAUUUUUUCUGAUUGGCUUUUAAAGCAAAAAUAAAUGAAUCAAAACUUUCAACAACGGAUCUCUUGGUUCUGGCAUCGAUGAAGAACGCAGC
RNAcentral lists this unclassified non-coding RNA (302 nucleotides) under uncultured fungus. RNAcentral describes it as "partial contains small subunit ribosomal RNA, internal transcribed spacer 1, and 5.8S ribosomal RNA". The stretch from base 1 to 73 matches the Rfam family "Eukaryotic small subunit ribosomal RNA", at positions 1759 to 1831 of the family's 1831-position model. The record is from RNAcentral. Lineage: Eukaryota; Fungi.